CCUUCGAUAGCUCAGUUGGUAGAGCGGGGGACUGUAGAUUUAUAAUUGUGAUCCCUAGGUCGCUGGUGCGAAUCCGGCUCGAAGGA
Molecule: non-coding RNA, 86 nt
Organism: Nematostella vectensis (starlet sea anemone)
Lineage: Eukaryota; Metazoa; Cnidaria; Anthozoa; Actiniaria; Edwardsiidae
Source: Rfam